GAUGAAAACGCAGCGAAAUGCGAUAAGUAAUGUGAAUUGCAGAAUUCAGUGAAUCAUCGAAUCUUUGAACGCACAUUGCGCCCGCUAGUAUUCUGGCGGGCAUGCCUGUCCGAGCGUCAUUUCAACCCUCAAGCCCCCGGGCUUGGUGUUGGGGAUCGGCGAGCCUCCGCGCCCGCCGUCCCCUAAAUCUAGUGGCGGUCUCGCUGUAGCUUCCUCUGCGUAGUAGCACACCUCGCACUGGGAAACAGCGCGGCCACGCCGUUAAACCCCCAACUUCUGAACGUUUGACCUCGGAUCAGGUAGGAAUACCCGCUGAACUUAAGCAUAUCAAUAAGCGGAGGA
RNAcentral lists this unclassified non-coding RNA (342 nucleotides) under soil metagenome. RNAcentral describes it as "partial contains 5.8S ribosomal RNA, internal transcribed spacer 2, and large subunit ribosomal RNA". The stretch from base 1 to 119 matches the Rfam family "5.8S ribosomal RNA", at positions 35 to 154 of the family's 154-position model. The record is from RNAcentral.